RNAcentral lists this long non-coding RNA (665 nucleotides) under Olea europaea subsp. europaea. Lineage: Eukaryota; Viridiplantae; Streptophyta; Magnoliopsida; Lamiales; Oleaceae. The record is from RNAcentral.
AGAACAUUUUUUGAAUCAUAUCUUUCAUCAAACAUUAAUAAAACUAGUUCUAAAAAUUAUAGUGUUCAUAAAAAUUAAAGUACUUCAUGACGAGGAUCUCUCGGUCCAAUAGCAUAUCCACCCACCGCCGUCCAACAUAAUAGUUUUUGCCUGAAAUUUGUAAAUAAAGAGGGAUGAGUAUAACGAAUUAUAUUCAAUGAGAUGCUUGCUACUCCACAUUCAAAUCAAACAUGAAAUUAUGUAUAAAUUCUCUUACCAAUAUAACAUGAGAAUUAUCACACCAUGACAAAUGAUAAUUCUAGCAGGCAGUGCAAAGUAACGUGAAGGUUAAAUUGUGCCUUGAAAAUAACAUGAAGGCUGAAUUGUGCCUUAAAAUGUAUCAUAAUUUCUCUCGAAGGAGCUCUGAACUGAAGUAAUUAAAUUCAUACAUAACAACGUAUUUGAAAGAUGUGGAAAAACCACUAAUAGUACUGAGUAUCUCACCUUUUAAAGAUGAAUAUGGAGAAUAAAAUUGCAGUAAACAUGAUUCUUUAUUGCAAUUUCAAAGUCUUAAUAAUAUGGAGAAAUAUUUUAAAGAGGGAGAGAGAAUAGACGUGAAGCAGAAUACUUGAGGUUCACUGCUGUAUAUAUAUUAAACUGAAGCAUAUCGUAAUUCGUAACCGUAG